AUCGCUUCUCGGCCUUUUGGCUAAGAUCAAGUGUAAUUUUAUCACCCCUGCUUUUUUUUCAAAUUCUUGUAAACUCUGGGCAGGUUUGGAAAAUACAAAGAUCUGUGAUCUUUCCCUUUUACUCCUACGUUAUUUUAAGCUAAA
Molecule: small nuclear RNA, 144 nt
Filed under: Sus scrofa (pig)
Lineage: Eukaryota; Metazoa; Chordata; Mammalia; Artiodactyla; Suidae
Description: U2 spliceosomal RNA (ENSSSCG00065075160.1)
Rfam family: U2 spliceosomal RNA
About the family: U2 is a small nuclear RNA (snRNA) component of the spliceosome (involved in pre-mRNA splicing).
Source: RNAcentral